RNAcentral lists this ribosomal RNA (496 nucleotides) under uncultured bacterium. RNAcentral describes it as "partial 16S ribosomal RNA". It matches the Rfam family "Bacterial small subunit ribosomal RNA", at positions 28 to 507 of the family's 1533-position model. The record is from RNAcentral.
GAUGAACGCUGGCGGCGUGCCUAAUACAUGCGAGUCGAGCGAACGGACGAGAAGCUUGCUUUUCUGAUGUUAGCGGCGGACGGGUGAGUAACACGUGGAUAACCUACCUAUAAGACUGGGAUAACUUCGGGAAACCGGAGCUAAUACCGGAUAAUAUUUUGAACCGCAUGGUUCAAAAGUGAAAGACGGUCUUGCUGUCACUUAUAGAUGGAUCCGCGCUGCAUUAGCUAGUUGGUAAGGUAACGGCUUACCAAGGCAACGAUGCAUAGCCGACCUGAGAGGGUGAUCGGCCACACUGGAACUGAGACACGGUCCAGACUCCUACGGGAGGCAGCAGUAGGGAAUCUUCCGCAAUGGGCGAAAGCCUGACGGAGCAACGCCGCGUGAGUGAUGAAGGUCUUCGGAUCGUAAAACUCUGUUAUUAGGGAAGAACAUAUGUGUAAGUAACUGUGCACAUCUUGACGGUACCUAUCAGAAAGCCACGGCUAACUACGUG